UCGAAAAUCGAGCUGAAAAAAUUAGUUAAAAUCGAUCGCUAUUUGGUGUUAUACGCAGGUAGUCUGUCUUUCCUAAAAUUGUCUGCAAUUUCCAUCAUGGUAUGGGACAUUCGAGCCAAAUUCAGAAUAAGUUUAUCAGUAGGUAAGAUGUAGAAAAUUUUGCGGUUGUUCGAGGUUGAAAUCGUGGUUAACCAUUAAAAAUCGCCUCGAUUUGCUUCUGGUGCAGUAUGAUUAGGUAUUGCAGUUCUAUGAACGCUCCUCUUUUAUGGAGAUAGAUUUUUGGGCCAUGUGAAGUAGGUUCUGAAGCUGAUCAGGGUUUGCUUUUACAUUUUCAUUGACAAGUUCUGUGCUGUUUUAAUAGUUUAUCUUUGGGUAGUCCGGUGUUUUUUUUUCAAAAAACAGAAAUAAAAGAUAAAUGUUUGCAUUUGUGUUACUCCUUUUUUUUUCAAUAGUUUCAUUUUUCUUUGAAUGGCUUCUUUCACAAAAUUGCAGCCAUUGCUAUUGCAGUGCAAUAAUCAGCUAGUUGAACUGAAAAAUUAUAUGAAGAUUACAAUUUAUAAUUAAUCAAUACAACUAAAAAUUGAUCAUAGAUGUGAUUGUAUUAUAGAUUAUUCGGAUGCAAAUGCAAAUAUUUCAGGUUGUUUUUCCAAAAAAAUAAGAAGUUUGCAAAUACUAGAUCAGCUUAUUCUUGAUGUUUGGGUUAUAUGAAACAAUAACUAGACAUGGUCGAGGUCAAGGUUGCAAAUAUUGCCAGAACAGGACGGUAUGAAUGGUACCAUACCAUUUUUGUAGGCUAUUAGCAUCGGUAAACAGUGUAUCGGUGCAGAUGCAGUCCUGUGUCAUGUGUUGUAUCUGGUACCUACCUUCUAGCAAAAACAAAAAACAAAAAGGUACGAGUCUUAUACCAGUAUGUGGAGCCUUGGUUGAGUAUUCACAAGAUAAUGUGAAAUGUUAAUGCUUGACCGUCAUUUGGCAUACAUAUGUACAGUGCCUUCACAAACUGAUUGCUUCUGGGGUUUUAAAUGCUGGUAUAAUAAUGCUAUGAUAGUAGGAUUUUGGUAUUUAAUGAAAUUUAAGUUUUUGCAUCCAUGAGAUCAGGAUGCAUAGUUUGACUUGUGGCUCCCAGGAACUGGGGCAAAACCUGGAUCUUGCGAAAGAAGAAUGAGCUCAGGUUUACUUAUUGAUUGGUUCUUACUCUGACAAAAGGACUAGGUUUUCAAAGUAUUGGUAAAUGCUCAGUUGUCCAACCACUAUUAUGAGUAUGUAAGGUGUGAAUUGUUGUCAUUAAGCAAAAAAGAAAACUUUCUGGUUUGGGAUUGAUAUGAAAGGCCAUAUUGAUCAUGUCUUUAAUUGCUUGAAUUAUUGAAUAUAACUUUAGUCUCCCUGAAUAGGUUUUGGGUUUGGGAGGUGGGGGUUUGAAGUAUGAAUAUUCUACUUGAUUUUACGUAACUCAUGGAAACCAUUGAUUUUACUGAUGUUCCUAAUCUCUUAUCUUGAUCUCUUUAUUUCCUAUGUGGGAAGAUAAUGAAGGGAAUGAUGUGUUUGAAUUGUUAAACGUUACCGUUGGUGUUUUUAAGUUCAAUAAGCAAGAAAAUAUAUCUUAAAUUAUAUAAACAUACGGAGAUUUCUGUUAUCAUAUGAACUGGGCUUGCUCUAGUGGUCCUAUCCUCUGUCUAGCAAUCAGAGGUUCUGGAUUCAAAUCUUAGAUGCUGCAUUCCCAAGCACUGGGACCUAGUAAUUGUAGUUCAGAUGGGUAUCUGUCCCUCUCUCUCAAAAAAAAAAUUGUCCUUGGACAUUUAUGACCGUUAGACUUCUUGCAAUCUAUAUUGGCCAUUAGAUUAAGAAAGGAGGUCUCUCCUAAUAUAUUUUUUUCUUAAUCUCAGAUUCUUUCUGGUCUCCAAAUACACUUUUCAAAAUCUUUUGAAAGAAACUUCAUAAAAAUUAAAAGGCAUCUCCUGUUCCCUUCUGCUUUGAUUUUAUGCAAACCAGUGAUCUAAGUUAAUGCUUUACUCUGUGCCUUUGAUGAAGUAAGAAAAAAAAUCAAUUUUAUAACUUUUACUAUUUAUUCACUUAGUUAUAAUUGAGAAUGAAAUAUUUUCCUCUGCAACAUGCAUUAUGUAUAUACCUAUAUAUAGCUUUCAUAUUGCUGUUUUUCUGCAAUUGUCCCUUUUUGUUAUAUUGGCUUCUAUCACAAAAUUGCAGCUAGUGUUGUUGCAGUGCAAUAAUCCUCUUCUUUUUUUUUUAAGCAAUGCAAUAAUCAGUUAGUAACAAUUAUUUGGCAGUGAGUGAAAAGGUCCAAAACCAUCACCACUCUUGGCAUCUUUCAAAACUCAUGGGAUGUUUUCUUUUUUUAUUAUAAAGAAGCAGAGGAUCAGGCUCUAUCCAAGGAUUAUAUAUCUAAAAACUCUUAUUCAUGGACAGCCGUGGUACAGGCCUCAAGAGAUCUCCCCUUCUUCCUCCCAUAUAUUACCAUUGGUAGAAAGGACCAUUCUCUUUCUGAGUCGCUCUGUUUUGAGAAGUAACUCCUUGGUAGAGCAAUGGUUUCAUCCAAGCUCUUGCUUAUACAGAGCUUGAUCUCUUGUAACCUUGAGUUUUAUAAAGGGAGCUCUCCCUUAAUCUUGUUGGAUCUUAGAGAGCUGAAUUCAGGUAUUACCAAUUGAUGAGCAUUUUGAACCUUGGUUUGAACCAUGGACCUACAUUGAGUCCAAUACUUGGAGUUAGUAAAUUUAAAUUUACUCCACCAACUGGGGGCUAUUAUGCCUAAAUUGGUUGAGGCUAGGCCUCAAACUUAGGCCAACUCUUAGGAUACAGUUUGAUAUUAACUCUAGUUUUUGGGAAACACAAAGUUUUCAAAUCAAGAUGCUAGCAAACUGCAAGCUGUGAUUAUUCAUUAAAUGACCAUUUGGUAAUUGCUCUAACAAAAUCCUAGGUCUCCACUCGCCAUUGGAUAGGGAUUGCAAUAUAUUGGAAACAAUCUUGUCAGCAACCCAUGCACAAUGUUGGCAAUUUUAAGAUUAUAUGAUUUAGAAUGCACAAUGGCUAUCUCCAUAGUUUUUUUUUUCCGGUUUAGGCUAACUUUUAGCUGGAGCAUGACUCAUGUCUAAGUUCAUUGGUUGCUAAUUGUACUUGGAGUAUUCCAACAUUCAUAAGCCAAAUAAGGCGGCUUAUGAAAUCUCGCAUUCUCUUCCCGCACCUUGCCUGUUCUAGCAUCUGGCAAACCAGACUUGGCUGGGAUUCCUUCAGAAAGGGGAGCUUUUCCUUGAUCUUGGUUUGGUCAUCUAACUUUCAAGCCUGUUGGGAACUGGUUUCUCCUUUCUCAUCGCACCUUUGGCGGGAGGAGUUAGAAAGGUGAAAAGAGAACAAGACAAGACCUGCGUAUAUCGCUCCUGUCUAAGCGAGCGAUACUUUAUCCAUUGGACUUUCCAUUCAAGCUCGACUUGUAGCGAGACUCGUUCUUUUUCUCAUGAAAAAUUGAUUAUCCAUUUUUUUGGCAAUAAAAUAACCACUCGUUACUAGUAAUCCAUGUCGCUCUCACUAUAUUAUAUAUUCAUGUGGAUAUUCAGUAUAUCGUCGUGUUCUGUUACAACACAACGAAUAGAAUGUUCUUAUAAAACUAGUAAGAAUAUGUAUGCCAUACACCUUGCUGGGAUUGUAGUUCAAUCGGUCAGAGCACCGCCCUGUCAAGGCGGAAGCUGUGGGUUCGAGCCCCGCGUCCCGAACUAGGAUCCAAUGAAUUGAUUAUAUUUAAAGCAUACUCGUAAGUAGAGUAAUGAUUCUGCUUUAUUAUGAUUCUUUGUGGGUGUUUGGAGAGAGAGAUAUGGUAGAAUUUCUAAAUUACAAAUGAAUGUUCAUCCUUCACUUUUCAACAACAACUUACAUUAGAUGAUUGUUCCGGGCUCAAGGCCAUUAGAUAUCGAUAUCUGCCAGUUGAUGUUUUUUAAGGACAAAUAGGCACUGGUGCAAGACCUGUUGAUGGAGAACUGAUGUUCUGGAUUGAGCAGGGCUUGGUUUUCCACCUUAUGAUAUUUCACUUGCAUCCUUUGUAUGGACGUCAUUUCUCCAGCUAUAUUGCUAUGCUAAAAUGGGGAGGGAAAGAAAUAAGAGACAUGAAAUUAGAAUUAUUUUAGUGUAAUGUGCAAUUUCUUGGAAUCCCCACUUUCAGAAUCUGUAUAGUGCCUGGAAAAAAAAUUCAGGUCCCUAAUUAGUUUUAAUUCUUUCCAUUUCUAUGAAAGUUAAUGGAUAAACAAGAAAUAUUGGCAUCCUGAGUUGUGCAGGAGCAUGAACCAGAAAUUCGUGAACAGGAUUGCAGAAAUGAUAGUCAACCAUUCCUUGUGCAGGACAUAAUUAGCUGAGGUUGCUAGAUAUUAUAAGCUUUUGGUUAAUUUUGGAAAAGCGAUAUCUGGUCAAAAUAUAAAUAAAGAAUUUAUUUUUCAUUUCGAACUGGUUGCUGGGCCCAGGAUUUUGCAAAGAUGCGAUCAAAAAAGGGACGACGAAGUGAUACAAAAAGAACUCUGUUCUUUGUUACUCCUAUCUAUAAGAGGAGAGCAUAUGAAAAAUGUAACUGAUUCUUUCCUUUCCUUGGGUCACUGGCCAUCCGCCGGGAGUUUCGGGUUUAAUACCAAUAUUUUAGCAACAAAUCCAAUAUGUUUCUCUGAACUGUUGAGUAGCGGUUCCAUGAGUAAUUAUCAGGUAUCUCAAAUUCCAUAAUUUUUCUACUAUGCCAUGUUGAGCUUGAGCCAUGAAGUAUUGUCUAACUAGUAACUUUAGAAAAGGGCAACCAUAUAUCUAGUAUCUUGUAAGUGUAUCAAAUAUUGCACCUGUUAAUACAUGAGUUUACUGGCAAGCAUCUGUCUGCACAGUGCUUGCUGUUGCUUGCGCUAGACAAUGUUUUCCAAACUUUAGCAAACUAUGUAAUAUAAUUUAAAGUUUAGCAAGAAUCAUAUUUCAUAGGAAGUGCAAUUAAUAUUUCACAUAAAAUUGUCAAGAAACAAGCCCGUCUAGUCUGCAUCAGCAUUGGAAGUACCUUGUUAUCUGUAUAAACAUGCUGAAUGAUGAGCCAUCAGGGUGUUAAUGCUACAGAAAAUCAAUAAUUAAAUAUUUAAUUAAUUACAUAAUAAACCUAAGAAUCUGUGGGUACCUGUAAUCAAUCACCACUGUAAGUGUCUCUAUCUAAAUAUUGCUUGUUUUUGCUUAUAUUUGCUUAUAUUUGGUCUUCUGAUUGUGAUGCUUUAUGUGCGAUUUGACAAAAGUAUAUCUUGAUAUGAUGAUUUCUUUUUGGUUAUAACGAACUUAAAGUUAAGGAAUUCCUUUCUUUACUGUCUCUGUUAUAGAUGUACCCACUGCAUACUUUGUUUACUUUGUUGUUUCACAUGUGAACUUAGCAAUUUAUUCAAUUCAUGCUAAUAUUUGGCUGUCAUACUAUCUUCAGGAGCUGGAUGGAUGCUGUUGUUGCCUUAUCCUUCCAUCAGUUAAUUUGCAUUUAAUUAUAUCUCUAUUAUUUUCAUGAUAUAAUUUUAGUAGAAUAAUUAAGAGUUUAAGCAUGUUGCUUAGCAAUUUAAUGAUAAAGAUAUUAUGUCUUGCUGGCAUCUUUGCUUGCUUAGGCUUCAAUUCAUGAAUAGUAGAAUCAUAGCUUGAGAUUAUUGUAAUGAGUUUAAUUUAUCAAUCUCUUUAAUGUUUCAGGUAAUGUAGCUAUAAGCUUUAUUGUUUAAAUAGUUAUCCAAAUCAGUCCGAGCAUAUCAAAUCCCCUCACUGUCCAGUAUGACUAAUGAUGCAUUAUAUUUGUGCCCGCGCGCAUAUGUAUAUAUAUGCAUAUGUGUGUAUAUACAUACAUAAAUAAAUGCAUAUAUGCAUAAAUGUACACAUAUUUAUGUACAUACAUAAACAUAUUUCUGGAUGGUGGAUACUAUCAUCAAGGGCAAAACUUCUUUGCUACAUUGCUUAUGUGAUGUCAGUAUUUAACAGCAUUCAGUCAUUUAUAAUAUGGCCAAACUUCUGUUUCUUCUUGAAGUUUUCAUGUCCUUUAAUUAUUAAAUUCAUAAUACUUUCUUCAGGAUAAAAAUCCCUAUCUUCUGUUCUUGCAAGAAAAUUAUGAAUUGGAACUAGCAAUUUAUUACCUUGCUUUAUUAUUACCUAGAGUUGGCACAGUUGCCAAUAUGAAGCAAUAUUUUUCUCUUAACUUGAUUUCAUCAAAUUACCAUCUGUUGUCGUAAAUCUUAACUUGUCUUCUGUUAUUACUACCGAUUAACACUAAUCUUGUGUUGUAUUUGUAAGUAUAUAGGUUCAGGCACAUUCUGCUCAUGUAACAGGUAGGGAUUCUUUGUUUUUCGUCCUGUCAUGAGAACCAUUGGCACAAGUUACAAAUUGAGGCAGAAUUAGUUUAAGAUCAGAUUAUGCAAAACUGUGGAGCAGUGUGAAUGAUAGUUGAUAACUUGAUACUUCAUUGCUACAUCAGUGGUAAGAUAGCAUUGGACUGGAUACUGUGAAGGAUUCAGAGGUGUUUGUGUAUGCCCAAAUUUGGAUGAGAGACUCUGAAUGCUAUGUUGGAGAGGAUAUCUAUUUGCUUAUCAAGUUGGAGUUGGAGAGUUUAGCUGCAUCCAUGUAUGAGAAUACCCCUGAUUCAUUUAUGUGGUGAUUUUUAGUGUCCCAGAUCUUGAACUGUAGGUCCUGUGGCUCCUACAAGCCCUCCAAAUGCAGCCUUCUUCUGCCUCCUCUUGUCAACUGAAUCAUAAGCUUUAAAAUUUAUGUGCAUUCCACACGAAGAGGAUAUUGUAAAAUAAGGUAGCUGGGUACAUGUUUGAUUCAUAAAAUUAAUUUUUAUUUUUGAAAUAUAAUAGGUAUGAGUUUGUCAGCAUACUAAGACCAUAUAAACUUGCUUAGUCCAAUUGCAUGGAACAUUUUCUUGUCCGUAGACCCAUAUAUGACAGAUCUUGAUGUAGUCACUCUUUCAAUGAGGAUGCCAAGUUGGAUUUAGGUUCAGGGUCAACAUCAAGUUAACAAACUGUUGUAACAUAAGAUGCUUGAUCUAUGAAAUGUGUCUGAAGGGAAAAUCUGUGCUGCUAGUGGAUCUGGUUUCCCAUGAAAAGAAAUACAGCAAAAAAAAAAUUGAGCUCAACACAAUCAGGCUUGUGUUGACUUGCUAGUUAGGUUUACUCAUUCUAUUGAGACAGAUGUAUGAUUUGGUGCCUAAAGUCUGCUUAACAAUGCUUUAUUAGCCUCCUCUUGUAAGACAUCUUUCAAACAAAUUUAGAUAAGCAAAAGCUUCUUGAUGUCUUGAUUCUAAAUGGCUCUCACUCGCAAUGUCCAGGUUAGAGAACUCACCAUAUCCUUCCGAGAGUGCCAAUUGGAGUGAAUAGGUGCCAUAUAACUGAAAAUUUAAAGUUGGAAUUCUUAUCAAAAUCUCCUUUGCACGGCCAUCAUUAUUAUCACCUUGUCUGACCAGAUCAUCUUUCCUUUUAUUUCAUGAACCUCAGAUCAGUUGGAGCAAAAUAUGGUACUAGAAAUUUUCGAUCUAAAGGAUGAUAUCAGCUACUAAACUCCUUCACUUGAAAAGGCAUGAAUUACAAUCCUGAACUGAAGUCGAGUAGGCUGUGAUUUUAGGCAGACAUGCAUCUCAAACUGAAGAAUUGAACACAACUUCAUUAUUGUUGGAAAAAUGGCCUCCCAUCACAUAGGCAAAUACAGUCUUAUGUCACAUACUCAAAUUUGACUUUUUGUGUGCAAACCACAGAGUUCAGUGUAUCACCUUCACGUCUCAGUAGGGUAGUAACAGUGUUAGUUUUCUGAGCCAGUCAACCCUAUCAGUAACUAGGGUCAGUUAUUAGUGCUUUAUCAGUCAAAUUAGUGAUGGUUAUUUAAAGCCCCACCCACUCUAUCUUUUGUUUGGAGUAGUAGGAGGGUGUAUGCCCACACAAUGUUGGUUUCCUUGAGCCUAUAAUUGCCCAUUUAGUUUGGGUCAGGAGCAUGAACACUAUUUUCUGAUCCGCCAUGUUGGGUUUAUUUUUAAAUGUUGAAUGUUAUAUAAAAAGGAUACUGUAUCUCCAAAAACUCCGAUGCAGGUAUUAUAGAAUUGAUGGGUGUAUAAUCAGCCUUUACUGGCAACUGUCUUUGUCUACAUGAUGCUAGCUGCUGCUUGCGCUAGACUGUUCUUUCGGGAAGUUCCAUGAAGAAAGCUAUAUUAUUAAUGUUGAACUAUUACAUUUUUUAAUUCAAAUUGGUCUUGGGACAAGGAAGUUCAAAUCAAACUGUCAGGAAACAGGCCCUAUAAUCUAAAUUAGAAUCACAGAUUCCUUGAUAUCUUGUAUAACCAGGGCGGACAAUGUGCAACUGGAAUAUUAAUGAUAUUAAAAACAAAAUCUGGAUUUGUAAUUGAUUACAUAACAAAAAGUUUGAUGUGAUACCCAAGAAUCUGUGGGCACAUGUAUAAACCCUUCACUGGAAAAUGUUUUUGUCUAAAAGUUGCUUUCUGUUGCUUAUGCUGGCUUUUGAUGAUGUUAUUUUAUGCCUGAUUUUGUAAAAGUGAAGCUUGAUAACCUUCUCGUUCUUUUUGGUUUUAUUAAACGUAUUUUGAGGCUUUUCCUUUCUUUACCACUGUUUGCUAAAGAUAUGCAUAUUACUUGCUUUCUUUUCUUUGUUGUUAAGCAUGUUAGCACGGCAACUUAUGGUCAGCUCAUGCUACAGUAACUGAAAGUUCCUGCAAGCUUCAAUUAUUGGCUGGUAUAAAGUUUAUGGUGCAGGAUGGGAAUCACGGUCUCCUUAUCUUUCUGUCGGUUCCGGAUAUCAUUUGAAUCAGGUAGCUGGAGGCAUCCCCACAACCCAUAAGUGGGUUUUAAAGUAUAACCUUUCUGGUUUAAUUGCAUGGGGCAUUUAAUUGGCGGCUACGGAAAGGCAUACGUAGAAUUUACCAAGAAAAGGACAUGCAUGGAACAUAGACAAAGAUGUGACGCAUAUGGAGGUAGUCACUCUUCAAUUGGGUUGUCGGGUGGGUACUAGCUUCCUGGUUCAUCAUCAAGUUCCCAUUUUUGGAAUAAGAAAACAUGUGCUGAUAGUGUCUAAUUUCUUAUGAGAGGGGACACAGAAAAAAUCUUGAUGUUAAACUGAAAACUUGUAAUGGAUUUUUUGUUACAAUCUCUUACCUCUUACCUGGGGCCUGUCAUAAUAUUCUCCUUUGUCUUAACCAAGUUAUCCUUUCUCCUAUAUAUCUUUGUUCAUUUUUUCUUUUCAAGAACUUUAGAUGGGGUGAGAAAAAUUUGGUAAUUGAAUAUUUCGAUUCAAAGAAUGAUGUCAACCUACCUCUGCUGAACUUGUUCACUUGAAAUGUGUGGAGUGUGAUCCUGAACCCAGGCCAGGAGUGUGCAAGGCUUAGCCGUGACUCACAAGAUAAAGCCAUGAUAUAGCUCGGAAGAAUUAAGUGUUUGUUCCUCCCCCAACUUCUCUUUUUUUUUGAUUUUGUUGGUUUCGCUCAUGUUCAUUUGUGUAAAGUGCUGUUGUAUUGGGGAAAAAAAUAAAAGCCUUAGGUCACCCUCGUACAAUUAUGCAUGAGGUUCAUAUACUAGUCUACCCUCGUACAAUUAUGCAUGAGGUUCAAGGGGCAUUUAGCAAAUGAAGAGAGAGACCAAGUGAAAAAACUUAGCGAGUGGGGUCAUGCCUUCCAUUUCAUGAGGCAUGGCCAAAAGAGACGAGGUUGAGAAGAAACUGAUGGCAAGAGACGAAGUCCUUGCAAAUGUUAAAUGGAAGCUUCAGAAGGCACAGAAAAGAAUGAAAAGAUAUUACAAUCAGGAUCGAAGAGAUAUUGUUUUCGAACCAGGCUAGAAUG
Molecule: long non-coding RNA, 9811 nt
Organism: Phoenix dactylifera (date palm)
Lineage: Eukaryota; Viridiplantae; Streptophyta; Magnoliopsida; Arecales; Arecaceae
Source: RefSeq, a predicted model, not a curated record